ACAGGAAACCAUAAGGGCGUACGGUGGAUGCCUUGGCUUGAAGAGGCGAUGAAAGACGUAGCACGACUGCGAUAAGCUUCGGGGAGGUGUCUAGCAACCUUUGAUCCGGAGAUCUCUGAAUGGGGAGACCCGGCCGAAUAAACUUCGGUCACCUUGCGAUAUGCAGGGAGCGUACCCAGGGAAUUGAAACAUCUUAGUACCUGGAGGAAAAGAAACCAAUAUGCGGGUCCUGUACUGUGGUGGCACUUGUGUCGCUACGGUACAAGAUCCCGGCAUUUCCUGAGUAGCGGCGAGCGAAACGGAAGGAGCCCAAACCGGGCGCAUCACAGUGCAUGUGAUGUCGCGUAUGAGAAUGCGUAUGGGUAUGGGGGAAGCCAAACAGCAGAGCUGUUUGGCCGACGCAUACGCAUACGAAACCCUCAUACGCGGACAUCGCGCGUAGUGUGAUGCGUCCGGGGUUGUAGGGCGGCAGUGUCGGAAACGAGGAGAGUCAAAAAAUGUAUCUGUUAGUAAAACACUUUGGAAAGAGUGGCCCCAGCGGGUAACAGCCCCGUAUACGAAAACAGAUACGCCUCUCUUGCUGUCGUUCCUGAGUAGCGUCGGACAUGAAUAGCUGGCGCGAAUCCGGGUGGACUAACACCCAAGGCUAAAUACUCUUCAAGACCGAUAGUGAACUAGUACCGUGAGGGAAAGGUGAAAAGAACCCCGAGAGGGGAGUGAAAUAGAUCUGAAACCGUACGCUUACAAGGAGUCGGAGCGGACAUCACAGUGCAUGUGAUGUCGCGUAUGAGAAUGCGUAUGGGUAUGGGGAAGCCAAACAGCAGAGCUGUUUGGCCGACGCAUACGCAUACGAAACCCUCAUACGCGGACAUCGCGCGUAGCGUGAUGUCCGUGACGGCGUGCCUAUUGAAGAAUGAGCCGGCGAGUUUACGUAUGUGGCUGCCUAAGAGGAAACCCUCGGAGGCAUAGGGAAACCGAGUCUGAAUAGGGCGAAACAUUAAGUCGCAUGCGUAAGACCCGAAGCGAGGUGAGCUUACCAUGAGCAGGGUGAAGCGACCGUAACAGGUCGUGGAGGCCCGAACCGGUGCGCUGUACGACACGCUCGGAUGACUUGUGGUAAGGAGUGAAAAGCUAAUCGAACCUCGCAAUAGCUGGUUCUCUCCGAAAUAGCUUUAGGGCUAGCGUCGUGCGUUCCCUCUGGGGGUAGAGCACUGGAAGGUCUGAACAGGGAGAAAUCUCGUCAGACCUAUCAAACUCCGAAUACCAGAGACUAAAAGCACGGCAGUCAGAGUGUGGGGGCUAAGCUCCACUGCUCGAAAGGGAAACAGCCCAGAUCGCCAGUUAAGGUCCCUAAAUCCAUGCUAAGUAGCAAACUAAGGAGGUGGAAUUUCUGUGACAAUCAGGAGGUUGGCUUAGAAGCAGCCAUCCUUUAAAGAUAGCGUAACAGCUCACUGAUCCAGAGAUUCUGCGCCGAAGAUGAUCGGGGCUAAGUAUGGUACCGAAACUGCGGAUGUCGUUCGCAUCUCAUUACAUUCGAUACAAACACGUAUGGCAAUGCGUAUGGGUAUGGGGAGCCAAAACAGCGGAGCUGUUUUGGCCGCAUACGCAUACCAGUCCCCCAUACGCGCGAGAUAUCGAGCGUAGCGAGAUGCGAGCGGCGUGGUAGGAGAGCGUUCCAUUCUGCUGUGAAGCCAAAGGGGUAACCCAUGGUGGAGCGUAUGGAAGUGAGAAUGCCGGCGCGAGUAACCGCAAUGCAUGUGAGAUCCAUGCACGUCGAAAUUCCGAGGUUUCCUUGGCCAUGUUGAUCAGCCAAGGGUUAGUCGGGCCUAAGGGUAUCCCGAAAGGGGGACUCGAUGGACAGAUGGUUAAUAUUCCAUCACCUCUUAUAUGUGCGAAGGAGGGACGGAGUGUAGUACUUCAGGCGACUUAUCGGCUUGUCGUCCGUGCCGUGAGGAGGGUGUCUAGGUAAAUCCGGGCGCCACAUACUCCAAGCGGAGCGGGAAGUUAACGGGUUCGCCCAAUGACAAUUUGAAGGAGCACGCUUCCAAGAAAAGCUUCUAAGCUCUAGCAUAUGAGAGUCCGUACCUAAACCGACACAGGUGGAAAGGUCGAGAAGACCAAGACGAACGAGUGAUUGCUCCCCAAGGAACUCGGCAAAAAAGCGGCCGUAACUUCGGGAUAAGGCCUGCCAGUCGCAUCACACUGCGUGUGAUGCGCGUAUGCGGGAUUCGUAUGGGUAUGUGGGAGCCAAACAGCAAAGCUGUUUGGCCGACGCAUACGCAUACGCUUUCCCCAUACGCGCAUCGCGCUUGGCGCGAUGCGACUGGCCGCAGCGAAAGAUUGCCUGGCGACUGUUUACCAAAAACACAGCUCCCUGCGAACUCGUAAGAGGAUGUAUAGGGGGUGACACCUGACCAAUGCCAGAAGGUCAAUCACUGUUGGUGUAGUGUCGCAAGAUGCUAUGCUGGACGGUGCAAGCCCUGGUCAAUGUCAGCGAUAACUAUAAUCGUUCUAAGGUUACGCGUGUCUCAUUUUUUGAGGUGCGCGGAAGGACUAGAACGAUUAUAGGUGGGUACACAGAAACAACAUACAUCAUUACACAAAAGCUACCUUUGUAUUUGGCAACAGAUACAUAGUCCAGCUCACGGCUACAUAGAGACCAUACGCCGUGCUCCGCAACAGUAUUGUUGCGGAUGAAGAUAUGGCCCUUCGUGAGGAAUAGAAGAGCGAAAUUCCUUGUCGGGUAAGUUCCGACGCGCACGAAUGGUGUAACGACUAGGCAACUGUCUCGGGGAGUAGCUCGGUGAAAACGCAAUACCGGUAAAGAUGCCGGUUACCCGCGGCAAGACAGAAAGACCCCAUGGAGCUUUACUGCAGCUUCGUAUUGGGUUUGCGUGUUUACUGCGUAGAAUAGGUGGGAGACUUUGAAGCGUUCCUCUUGGGGAGCGUGGAGUCGACAGUGAAAUACCACUCUGUAAAUGUGCAAAUUCUAACCUGCUAGAGAAAAACUCUAGAGAGACAGUGCGUGGCAGGCAGUUUUACUGGGGCAGUACCCUCCUAAAGAGUAAUGGAGGGGUUCAAAGGUUGGCUAGGCGCGAAUGGAAACCGUGCCGAUAGUGUAAGAGCAAAAGCCAGCUUGACUGCAAGGGGUACAUCCCGAGCAGGUACGAAAGUAGAAUCUAGUGAACCGACAGUGCGCAUUAGAUGCGGCUGGAGAUUAUCGGAUAAAAGUUACCCUGGGGAUAACAGGCUAGUUCCGCCUAAGCGUCCAGAGCGACGGCGGAGUUCGGCACCUCGAUGUCGGCUCACCACAUCCUGGGGGUGGAGAAGCUCCCAAGGGUUUGGCUGUUCGCCAAUUAAAGUGGUACGCGAGCUGGGUUCAGACCGUUCAGGAGUUUAUACGUAGACUGUUGAACUGUCUGAACCCGCAUUUGAGAGUUUUCGUUUUUCUGUCUUAUGCCGUUGUUUGCACAGGUGUGCAAACAAAAAAAGUGUAGAGUCCAAUCAUAUCACGGCGGUCCCAAACACUUUGUGUUUGGAGCAAAAGUUGACUUAUAUCGGUAAAACCUUAGUCCGAGUAUGCGUAUGAAGUAUGCGUAUGAGGAAAGGCAAUACCGAGGGAAGCUGGCAGCUCGCUUAGGCGACUGCACUUGGAUUUUCUAAAGCAAAGCUAAGAAAAUCUCAGCGGCAGCUCGCUCACGCGACUGUACUUGGAUGUUCUGAUAUGAACAUCUCAGCGCCCGUAGAGACUGAACGUCAGCUAUUCUGAUCUCGCAAGAGGGAAGAAUAAAAUUACAGUCCAUCUCGUGUGGUAACACAUGAAAAAGAGCGUGAGACAGGUUGGUUCUCUAUCUGCCGUGGGCGUUGAUUCUUGAGGAGAUUUGUCCCUAGUACGAGAGGACCGGGAUGAACUGACCUCUGGUGUAUCGGCUGUCACGCCAGUGGCACCGCCGAGUAGCUAUGUCGGGAACGGAUAACCGCUGAAAGCAUCUAAGCGGGAAGCCAACUCCAAGAUUAGGAAUCGUUUGAGACCCGUAGGAGACGACUACGUUGAUAGGCACUAGGUGGAAGCACAGUGAUGUGUUGAGCCGAGGUGUACUAAUUCGUCGAGUUUCCUGUUG
Molecule: ribosomal RNA, 4121 nt
Filed under: Minisyncoccota bacterium
Lineage: Bacteria; Bacillati; Minisyncoccota
Description: 23S ribosomal RNA
Rfam family: Bacterial large subunit ribosomal RNA
Source: RNAcentral